RNAcentral lists this ribosomal RNA (253 nucleotides) under uncultured bacterium. RNAcentral's name for it is "partial 16S ribosomal RNA". It matches the Rfam family "Bacterial small subunit ribosomal RNA", at positions 524 to 776 of the family's 1533-position model. The record is from RNAcentral.
UACGUAGGGGGCAAGCGUUGUCCGGAUUUAUUGGGCGUAAAGAGCGUGUAGGCGGCCAGGUAGGUCUGCUGUGAAAACUCGAGGCUCAACCUCGAGACGUCGGCGGAAACCAUCUGGCUAGAGUCCGGAAGAGGAGAGUGGAAUUCCUGGUGUAGCGGUGAAAUGCGCAGAUAUCAGGAAGAACACCCGUGGCUAAGGCGGCUCUCUAGUACGGUACUGACGCUGAGACGCGAAAGCGUGGGGAGCGAACAGG